UCGAGAAUCUUCCGCAAUGGACGAAAGUCUGACGGAGCGACGUCGCGUGAUGGACGAAGUACUUCGGUACGUAAACAUCUUUUAUGUGGGACGAAAUUAUUGACGGUACCACAUGAAUAAGGGGCUCCUAACUCUGUGCCAGCAGGAGCGGUAAUACAGAGGCCCCAAGCAUUAUCCGGAAUCACUGGGCGUAAAGGGUGUCGAGGCGGCUAUGUUAGUCUUCCGUAAAAUCCGUGGGCUCAACCUACGGUCGGCGGGGGAAACGGCAUAGCUUGAGAGCAAAAGAGGUGCAUGGAACUCACGGUGUAGGGGUGAAAUCCGUUGAUAUCGUGGGGAACACCAAAGGCGAAGGCAGUGCACUGGUUUGUUUCUGACGCUCACACACGAAAGCCAGGGUAGCGAACGGGAUUAGAUACCCAUGUAGUCCCUGAGCGGGCUGGCAAGGCGCAU
RNAcentral lists this ribosomal RNA (450 nucleotides) under uncultured bacterium. Its description in RNAcentral is "bacterial SSU rRNA". It matches the Rfam family "Bacterial small subunit ribosomal RNA", at positions 355 to 825 of the family's 1533-position model. The record is from RNAcentral.